GAAGGUACAACUCAGUGGUAGAGCGCACGCUUAGCAUGCAUGAGGUCCUGGGUUCAAUUUCCGGUACUUCCA
RNAcentral lists this transfer RNA (72 nucleotides) under Camelus bactrianus (Bactrian camel). It matches the Rfam family "tRNA". From Rfam's summary of the family: Transfer RNA (tRNA) molecules are approximately 80 nucleotides in length. Their secondary structure includes four short double-helical elements and three loops (D, anti-codon, and T loops). Further hydrogen bonds mediate the characteristic L-shaped molecular structure. tRNAs have two regions of fundamental functional importance: the anti-codon, which is responsible for specific mRNA codon recognition, and the 3' end, to which the tRNAs corresponding amino acid is attached (by aminoacyl-tRNA synthetases). tRNAs cope with the degeneracy of the genetic code in two manners: having more than one tRNA (with a specific anti-codon) for a particular amino acid; and 'wobble' base-pairing, i.e. permitting non-standard base-pairing at the 3rd anti-codon position. RNAcentral also lists the same sequence under 2 other names. The record is from Rfam by way of RNAcentral. Lineage: Eukaryota; Metazoa; Chordata; Mammalia; Artiodactyla; Camelidae.